UGGGGAAUAUUGCACAAUGGAGGGAACUCUGAUGCAGCGACGCCGCGUGAGUGAAGAAGGUCUUCGGAUCGUAAAUCUCUGUCCUUGGGGAAGAAAACUGACGGUACCCAAGGAGGAAGCCCCGGCUAACUACGUGCCAGCAGCCGCGGUAAUACGUAGGGGGCUAGCGUUGUCCGGAUUUACUGGGCGUAAAGGGUGAGCAGGCGGUAAUGUGUGUCAGGUGUAAAAGACGUAGGCUUAACUUACGUAAGCACUUGAAACUGCAUUACUUGAGUACAGGAGAGGUAAGCGGAAUUCCUAGUGUAGCGGUGAAAUGCGUAGAUAUUAGGAGGAACACCAGUGGCGAAGGCGGCUUACUGGACUGUAACUGACGCUGAGUCACGAAAGCGUGGGUAGCAAACAGG
RNAcentral lists this ribosomal RNA (404 nucleotides) under uncultured Sedimentibacter sp. RNAcentral's name for it is "bacterial SSU rRNA". It matches the Rfam family "Bacterial small subunit ribosomal RNA", at positions 355 to 776 of the family's 1533-position model. Lineage: Bacteria; Bacillati; Bacillota; Tissierellia. The record is from RNAcentral.